Long non-coding RNA from Marmota monax (woodchuck), 13083 nucleotides. RefSeq lists it as uncharacterized. The transcript is spliced from 2 exons. The record is from RefSeq and is a predicted model, not a curated record. NCBI's taxonomy places the organism in Eukaryota, Metazoa, Chordata, Mammalia, Rodentia, Sciuridae.
CCAGACGGUUAUGAGAAAGCCUCAAUGGGGAACUGCAGCUGUCCCCCUCAGUUCCCUCCUCCUGGGGAUUCGAGGCCCUCACUGAGGAGUGUUGAGUGUCGGGGACCUAUUGCACCAGCUCCACCCAGUGUCCUGACUCCCCAGAGCCAGCACCAAUCCAGGGCUGGCUGUGACCGACCCCCCCCCCCCCCCCCCAGACUAAGACACUGAGCACAGAUCAGCACAGUUGGGGGUGGAGAAAGAAAUUCACAAACAUUUUCUUAUCUGUUCUUCACAGUGAGCCUGGGCUGCCAAUUCCCAAGGUCACCCAAUUUGCAAAUGGAUGAGCCUGGGAUACUGGUACAGACUGAGUUCUCUGCUUCCAGGAGAGAAUGCCUGCUCACGCCAUUCCCUCACAUGGCCAAGUAGAUUUCAUCCAGACAAGUCACACCCUGGCAGUGACAUUGGAUAAGUUAAUUCCCACAUCCCUUCUCUCCUCACACUUUGCAGUGCUGAGGAUGGAAUCCAGGGCCUUGCUGCUGGGCACGGGCUCCAGCUUGCCUCAUUCUUAUCUUGUCUGUUUUACAUCUUUGAGAAAUGUUUCAUUAGUGCUUAAUCUGUCACAUUCAGGGUUGAUGGGUUAGGAAUGUUUGUGACAGAAACACAUAUAUAAAUCCAGAAACUUUACAGUACAGCAAAAUUUUGUAGGAAAGAAGUAUGAAGAAGACAGACCUAGUUUGGGGAAUCACUGUGCCAAGGAGUUGGUUGAAUAAAACACUUAUGUAUUAUUUUUACACAUAUUCACACCAAAGGUUCUGGGUGGUUUUGGUAAUUCAUAGGGUUAAACACCUAAGCACUUGUGAUAGGAAAAGACACACACACACACACACACACACACACUUUUAAAAAUGUCCAUUCCUGUCUGGCUUCCUUACAAAGUCAUCAGUGAAAAUUGCCACAUGGUUACUUUGCCUGUUGUGUUUCAGACAAAAUUCAAUAAUGCCCAAGGUAAACGAGUGGAAUGAGAGAGGUGGGAGCUGGCACUGGACCAGGUGGACACGUGUGUUCUUCUUUAAGUGGGCAGCCCAUACUGGGCACAGGCUUUUGUUACCUUGUGUAAUGUCUUGUCAUAGGUCCCAGAAUUGCACUUUAUGUAAUAAAUUACAAGUCUGUGUCUGUUUAUACGUGAGAUGCACAGGUUAUCUUUAGCGCACAUGCGAGUGUUUGUGUGUAUGUGUGUGUGUGUGUGUGUGCUCAUGCGUGCUCGUGUGCAUAUUUACUUAAAUCAGUGAAUUUCUAGGCAGGGCCAGUUGGUUUAUCAUUUAGGAUUCAGGGAUGCUGCAAAUAUAUCUGGAAUAAAAUGGGAAUUAAUAUCUUUCCAAAGACAGGCUGAGAAAUCUUGUUCCUAUAAAUUGCUUCCUUUCUCUGGUGGCAGGCUAGUCAGACAUGGGCCACCAUUUCACAAGUAUAGUCAAGAGAAUAAAGAACACCAAAAUUAAGACCAGUCUGUCCAUGCCGUGUUGGUACAGGAUUCACAGUUCAACUCACCUGUGCUCAAAGGUGAACUUCUAUGCCUUUUGUGAGGUGGUGAGCUGUCAAAAUGGGUCACUGCCACAGCAAGGCAGCAGCUCCAGCAGCCUAGUCACAUUCAAGAUGCUCCAAGGGACUGUCUGAUAUUCAGCCAGAGAGCAGCAUUAGUCUCUAUAGGUUAAUCCGUGCUCAUCCUGCUUCUGGAAGGUGGUUAAUUUUUUCUGGUUAUGAUAUCAAAUAUGGUUAAGUUUUCCUUGACAGUCUCUGGUUUGUGAUUUUCUACCUGGAGCCUCACACUCCCUGCCCUCCUCCUCGGCCCCCCAGCCAUGCUGAGGCUCCCUUCAGCCUCUAUUCAAUCCACCUGGGCACAGCCAUCUUCAGGAGCAUGUUAUUAAAGCAUCAUUAGUAUGCAGCAAGGUGCCCUUCUCUCUGCUAAAUCACCUUGUAAAGUGGUCCUCACAAAAUGCACGUUCUUUGUUAUGACAGCAAGGCUUCAUGUUUCCAAUGCAAGCUAAUAAGACUUGAAGUAGAGAGCUAACUGAGGUGACCCAGCCCAUCAGGGGUGAGGGAGGUUGAUAAGAGAUAAGAGACAUGAGUCCAAGGGUCACCCCAAGAGCAGCCGGAGAAAAGAGCACCUUCUGUAGGAGAAACAGGCAAAGGGGUGUGUGAGCGACCAGGCAGGACUAAGAAAGGAAAUGAGAGCCAUUGUGUGCACCUGGUGGAAAAGGAUCCUGGAGAUGUAGCUGGAGAGGGAAAUGGCCACAGAAAGCAGAAAGUGGUCAAGAAUAAUUGUGGUCUGGUGAGCACAUGAGCAGUUUGGAGGGACUGAGGAAACUCUGAGCAGCAGCCUGAGUGCCGUCUGCUAGCUGGAAAAACCUCUAACACCCUCCGUGGACUUUGGUGGUGCUUCCAUGACUUGUACCAGUUUUUCCUAAUUUCCUAAUCCACCAAAUCGAGCUAGUAACCCUGGCCCUGCUGUCCACUGUGGGCUGUUGUGAGGAUCAAGGGAGAUUACCGUGGUGCAGAGGACUAUAAUCUAGAAAAUGCUCCCCAGGGCAAGACUUGAGCAGGAUGCUGUUGUGGGAGCACAGGAGAGGCAAGUCCCCGUCCUUGCGGAACCGCAUUUCCCAACUGAAGAAAGAGCCCACGCUGUUUUCUUUCCAUUUUUCUAUUCACGGGGGUCGUUACUAUGUUCGGAUGAACUAGGGUGACUUACAGCAAUUGGUUGAAGGGGGCCCAUAGAAGAAAAUGCAGUUGAACUUUUCUUCAUCACUGACCAUCGCCGAGGGGACCCUGCUUCUCCAGCCCCUUAGCUUAAGAUUGAAACCAUAGGGGCUGGGAUGUGGCUCAAGCGGUAGCGCGCUCACCUGGCAUGCGUGCGGCCCGGGUUUGAUCCUCAGCACCACAUACAAACAAAGAUGUUGUGUCCGCCAAAUACUAAAAAAUAAAUAUUUAAAAAAAAAAAAAAAGAUUGAAACCAUAACAAACACAAGGACACUCACUGGGGGACAGUGUUUGAACUUGAGUUUAUGAAACUCUCCUCUUACAGUCCCUUCCUCAAAUGUGGAGACUGGCCCUUUUCUGUGACUCUGCUGCAAAAGACAGCUCAUCUCUGAACUGAGUUGGUGUCAAGAAUUGCCAUCACUUAUGACCUAGGUCUGAUUUAAACCCCCUUUGCUUGGGGUCUGUUUUUUAAAAGCCUGCAUAAGCAGCAUAAGGCAGUUGGAUUCCAUGUCCACCCUGUUCCUGCCUUAAGGUCUUUUGUUUUCUAAAGAAAGGUGAUCCAUAGGGUUAGUGUGAACUCCCCCACAGGUGGGGUGGUCUUCCCACGGGAGGCCAAGCAGCGAGUCCAUUCUGCAGUGUUCUGCAGAUUCCAGAGCCCCACCCAGACCUACAGAAUCAGAAUCUCCCCUGGUGUAAGCUGUACCCGUGUAGGGUACUCUGAGCCCUGGUUCACAGUUUUGGGGAAGAGCUACCUCCUGGGCCUGCUUGGUGCAUGUUAAAAUGCCCGGCUGCUCUUCAGCUGUGCAAAAGCAAACUGGGAGCACGAGGCUUUCUCCUCUCGCCCUCUGGCCUCCAGCAUGGAGAGGGUGGCUCUUCUGCUUCUGUGUGUCUUCCAGGCAUGAACUUGAGCAGUGAUUCUCAGGCUUUUCAGCCUCAACACCUCUUGAAAAUCUUUAAAAAUUGCCAAGGAUCCCCAAGGAACUUUUGUUUGAUAUUUGCCCUAUUGCAAAUUAAUACUGGGAAAUUUCUAAAACCUAAGCACACAUUCUGCUAACCAUCAGAAUGAUGACAUCAGCUCACUCACGUAGCUUCCGGAAAACUCCACCUACACUCAGAAUAACAGUGAAAAAAGGAAAUAUAUCUCAGUACUGAUAUUGAGGAGCUAGGAAAGAUCUGGGGUUCUUGAGGCACACUGAUCUGUAGAACACAGGUCCCAUCCUACUGUGCUGUUUCUCUGUGGAACACAGGAGUCAAGCUGAUCGUUGAGUCACCCACCAAGAAGGGCUGUAGAGAAGGAUCUGAGCCCCACCCAGUUCUCUACUUUUACAGAUGAGGAACCUGAGCCCCCAAGAAUGAAGUGACAUCACCAAGCUCCCACAGCCUGGGUGCUCAGGUGCAUUUAUACCCUGCAGCGUCAGCCCACUGGGCUUAUGCCCAUCAGCUUAGUGGCUUAGUGGCUUAGGGCCCAGGCUUCAUUCAGAGGUAGCUUGGUCCCAAUCCCAGCUCUGCAACUGUGUGAGUGUGGGCAAGUCUUUUAACUUCUGUGGCCUCAGCUUCCUCAUCUAUAAAAUGCAGAAUAAACAAAUAUCUGCCUCAUAGGCUUGCUGAGAAAAGCAAAUGAGAUAGUUCAUGUAAAUGGCCUGGCAUCUUACAUAAGUAUCUCUCACUUACAUCCAGACACAUGCGCGCACUCACACGCACUCCUGCCUUAACUUCUCAGCUAACUUGUGGAGAGCUACAUUCAUAAUAUUGCAGCAAUCACUAGUCCUAGAAAGUGCCACCAGUUCUUACCCAUCUUAUGGUCUCAACUGCUCUCUAUCCAAAAACCUUCCUGUUGGCUCCACAGCGCUGCAGUGUGAGGGGAUUCCAGGAUUCAUGGUGAAUGCCUCUGUCUGUCUUCCCAACAGGCUGAAGACAGAGCUAACAUGGGUCUAAUUAGUUACAUGUCAGACCCAACAAUCCAUGCUGGGUGUCAUGUAGGACCGAGCAGUGUUUUCAAGGUGGUACGAAACCCUGUAAUGAGCCAGCGAAUGGUAUUAUUACAGUCGAAUAAACUGAAGUCUGAUUUAUGAUGAUUAAAAUUAGUUUCUAGCAUAUGUUUUUCCUCUUUUCCCCAAAGUGGAAGAUAUGUGUCUGUAGCACCAACCAUUUUCAAAUUGCAUUCCCAAACCACUCUUUAAUUGUCUACUAAUCAGUUCAUGGGAGAGCUCAGUGAAGGUAGGUGACCCACUUCUCCAUACUUUAAAAUGUAAAUAUAGCACUUUAUUCCUUGGGGGGUCUCCUUGGUCCUCACAUGCAAGCCAACAGAUUUCUAUUGUAAAAUUGUUAGUAUUGUUAAAAUAGUAUACUUGAAUUUGAAGAUGUUAUAAGCAAAUAACAACAAAAGGCAGAGAUUUUUAAAAUGAUGUCCUAUAAAUAACUAUAGUCUGUGUAUCCAGCCAAAUGAGAUAAUGUGCGCUCUAUGGGCCCAGCCGUCUCAGAUCCUGUUCAGACAUAUGUGGGUAUCAAUAAUGAAUGAAUAAACUGAUUCAUCCUCUGUCUUGCUGAGUGUCUCUCUGGGAGAUACUGCUUGUGGCUCUUGUUUACCUAAAGAUCACUUUGAAGGCAGAAUGCUCUGUAGUCCUAAAUAGCAGCACCUUGCCUAGAGUUGACAUGUGCUCCUGUCUCCAAGCCCCAGGAUGGGAGCUUCUCCCUCUUGCCAAGGAGGUAGAGUGCACAUCCCGAAAGACGCCGUGGUGAAAGCACCGGGCUUCCCUGUGCCUCCCACUCAGGACUGUGUGAUGGAGGCAGGGGCCUCCUUCACCCAGCUGUGCAGCACCCAGCAGCUGCCCACCUCUGCUGCUGGUCCACAAAGUGGGGUUGGCUGCCUCCACCCUCAGGCAGGCACGCCAGCCCUGUCCAGUGGCCUCGAGGGUGGGGGUGGGUUGCAUGGGUGACAAUUCUUAGGGAUGCACGUGCUAACUGCCGUGAUUUUGAGAGAUUCUAGAACUUGAGCUCAGGUUUUCAUGUCAGGCAGGGAUGACUCAGUUCACUGUGAGGGUCUCCUCCAGUGUGUGGUGGAGACUGAAGGCCUCAGGCCUGUGAGGGCCCAGGAACGGCGGUCAUAGACUCGUUUCUUUGCCUUACAAACACUGUGGCUUAAAAUGACCACUUCUCCUGCUUGCGCGGGUUGGCUGGAGUGUUCCCUUUUUCCCUGAGCUGCUCACGUGACUACCUCUGGAGGCGGGCCCAGGCCUCUCCCUUCUCCCAGCCCUUCCUCUGGGAGGUCCACCAGGGGCUGGCUGGCUCCGGGGUGGUGGCAGCUGGGCCAGGGCUGCAGGGCUCAUCACACCUCGGCUUCCGCUGGCUAAUGCAGGUCACCCCGUCAGGCCCACAGUCAUCAGGGAGGGGACUGUGCAGUGAGACCAGGAGGCACAGCUCAUGGAGGCUGUUAGUGUAACAGUCUCCCCGACUUGGCCUCAGUUUUCUUGCCAGCUACAUGGGAUUCGUUGUUAAGAAUGCUUGGGGAGGGGGCGGUGCUGGGGAGCCUGGGAGUCAAGAGAUGUGUUUUCUAUUCCAGAUCUGUCUCUGAGUGAGCGUGUGCUCUCGGGCUCCAUCAUCCUGUGAGUAAAGGCAAGGUCUUAGACCGAGUCAUCCAAGGCCCACUCGCCCGCCCACAUGCGCACACACACGCCCAUUUCCAUCUCCCACUCAACAUGGAAAUCAGAUAGGAUUGGAAGCUCCUGAAAGCACUAAGUUCUAUGCAUCACAGCAUGUUAUUACCAACCCUAUUUAUGUAGAAUUCUUGUAGAUAUAUUUUGUGUUGACUUGUCUUUGCUGUGACAAAAUACCUGAGGAAAAUCAGCUUAAAGGUGGAAAAUUUUAUUUUGGCUCAUGAUGCCGGAGGUACCAGUCUGUGGCCUUGGCUCCAUUGCUUUGGCCCUCUGGCCAGGCAUCCUGUCAUAAUGGGAAGUGCCUGGUGGAACAAAGCUACUCGCUUCAUGAGGCCGGGAAGCGAAGAGAGAAUAAAGGGGCCCUGGACAAAAUGAGCCCUUCAAAGGCAGCCCCCACACUGCAGCGCUUCCUCCACUGCCCGGUCUCCUGCAGUCACCAUCACCUCCCAGCAGCACCACCCUGGGGACCAAGCCCUCAACAGUUAGGGGCAGACGUGGCUUUCUUUGGCUGGACUAAGUGAGGAGCUGGGGUAGAAGCAGAACGAGGGGAGCUCUCGGUUUAAUUCCUGACCGUGGGCUGAUGGCUACCGGGCUUGCUGGGCUUCCCUGCUGGCCACCAGUGGUACUAGGGUGGCCUCCUGCCUGGUGGCCGCGGGUGGUGGGUCCGACUUCUGUUUUCACGCAAGCUGUUGCAUCGGGUGUCUGCAGCCUCCCAAGUCCCUGGACCCGAGAAGCUGAUCUUCCGUCACUCCUUGUCCUCGCAGACCCCCUGUCCAGACCCUGCAACGCUGCCUCGGCGUCCCCCACGUGCUCUCGUCGCUCCUUCACCUUCUCAAAGUGCCUGUCCCCAGGGCUUGUCCUAGCUCCUUCCCUCUUGAGUCCCAUAGCGUCCUGAGGGCAGGCUUCUGCUCACCCAUUGCUGUCCCCAGACCUCAGGACAUCUGGUCAGCUUAGAGUUGGUCAAACAAAUCUGCAUCUCAAAAUUACGGCUCCUGGGCUGGGGUCGUGGCUCAGCGGCAGAGCGCUUGCCUGGCAUGUGUGUGAGGCCCCGGGUUCGAUUCUCAGCACCACCUGUGAAUAGUAGAUCAAUACAGGUCUAUCAACAACGGUAUAUAAAUUACAUCUCCAGCCCAGGUUUUCACCUUUCUCCACAGCCUAUUCCUCUUCCUCAUGAUGUCUUCAUUCUCUGAAGUCCCAGAUCCCCUCUCUUGUCCCUUCUAGGUCCCCAGUGGGUGUCCCUCCACCCUUGUUCUGGCCUCAGCCUCCUGCCUGGUCACUGGGCUCCAGCCUCUCUCUGGUCCAUCUUCCACACCUUUCCAGGAUCCCCUUUCCAGGAUCCCGGAUCUCUGUAGAAGCCCUCCAUGGCCUCUAGCUACAUGGUGCUGGACAUAUGCUCUCUGAAACCGCCGUUCACAGUGCUCCCUGCUCCUUGACAUGCCCCUGGCUCCCCAGUCCAGUGGGUCCCAUGAUUGCUUCUAGGCCAGGCCUGUCCCUUCCCUCGCCUCUGCUGUCUUGACCACACUCCAGGCUGAGCGAAUCCCCUAACACUGCCGUCUCUCCCCAUGACAGUCACACGGAUGCUCUGUGCUGCGUCCUCUGUGCAGACAGUGUCUCUGUUGCUGAGCUGAGCUCACCGCCAGGUACGUGCUAAACAUGCAUCGAGAGAAAGGAUGGUUGGUGCCGCUGCCCUGAGCAUCUGGAAGAGCCCUCACAUCAAGUGGGCUCAUACUUGAAUGGAUUUGAGAGUGACCGCUUCCGACCUGCAGUUGAAGCUUGUUUAUUAAGUUUGCUUGUGAAUCGUGAGGUCCUCUAGAGGGGAGCUGAAUAAGACUUCAGGACCCUCAGUAUUUACUUAGCCCCCCUUCUGAGGUUCCGGUAAACUGCUUUGUGUUUGAAUAAGGACUUGGUCCCUUCUCCAGGAGAUCCUCUUUCUGGGCCUGUGCCGGCAGCAUGGUCGAAUGCCUAUUUCCCAACUUGCAUCCAGAGAAAACUGGCUUUUUUCAUUAGAAGCUCAGUUCGCAAUACGAAGGGACCUAAAUUGUUUACUUCCUGACUCAUUAAUAUUCUGCAGUGAUAUGUCAUGCUGGAAAGAGGGACAGGGUGGCAGAAUUGGGGCCAACAGGCGGCUGGAUCUGGGGAGAGGGCAUGCUGAGGACGAAGUGGUGGGCAUGUGGGACCACCUCGGAGACCAGCCUAGUGACAAAGAAGUGGCUGCCUGUGCCUCGUGCUGUAUGAAAACGCCAGCCAGCUUGGUAUCUUGGUCCCUGGAUUUCCAUUACCCGAUGAAGACAGAGCAUUCAGAGAAUGCCAGGGAGCCCCAGCCUGGGAGGUGAGCACGGAGGACACCGGCCACAUCUGCAUAAUCACAGCAUUUUAAACCGUGAUCAGAUAAAGCAGAUCAUACAUGAUGACCAAAAAUCAAAGCAGUUACAAAUAAAACAGAGUGCACUGUUGUUAAAAUGGCUGCAGGUUAUAUUCAGGAACUGUUUUUGGUGGCGUUGGCAUUCCCACUGCCGCAGACUCACCUUUGCCCUCUCGGGUGGCGACCUGCCGCCCUGCUCUGCUACACUCUCCUCCUCUGGCUUCUCUGCCUGCCUUCUUGCCCUGACUCCCUCUGCCUAGUGUGCCUUUCCCCUUCCUCCCAUUCCUCAGGAUGGAAUUAGAGCUCGACUCCCCUGGGGUUGCUUUCUCCCCUGCAGCCACAGAGGGUCCUGUAAUUCUUAACACACACCACGACCUCCUGAUGUACCUUGAGUGCAGGUCUCUGUGCUCCUCUGUGUGCCUCCCUUUGGUAAUUCCUGAGAUAAGGAGGACCCUGCCUAGGUUGCUUUGAGAUCUCCCUCCAUCCUGUGACCAGCAGAGGGCCUGAUACUUAUCAGAAGGCUAGAAAUGGUAAUUUAACGAAGUUGAACUAGUGGGCUGUUGAGACUCUGCUUAGCUCCAAGAGAACAGCUCUCUUCCCAUUGUUGCCCUUUUAGGCCUUCUAGCCCCACUGUCUUACUCCAUUUUUCAUUGCUAUAGCAAAAUACCUGAGACAAGAUAAUUUAUAAAGAAAAGAGAUUAAUUUUGUCUUUGGUUUUGGAGGCUGGAAUUCUAAACAGCAUUGUGCAGGCUCUGGUAUGGGCCCUUGGAUCCAUCACAUUAUGGUGGCGUAUGUGUGUAUCCGUGUACCAUUGGGGUACUUUCCUUUUUCCAGGAUUCAACCAUGGAAGCCCUACCUAAUGACCUGAUCUAAUCUAAUACUUCCCAAAGAGUCCACCCUCAUGACCAUAGUUGGUAAGCUUCCAUCUUCUUCACACCAUUAGGUAGUACUUAAUAUUCGACCCUGCCACCCACCGUCCUUGACAUCUGUGGCAGGUCACUCUUGAGCUCUUGACAGGAGGUGCCUGGCUGCUAGAAUGUCAGAGCCCAAGGGUUCCUAGGGGCCUUCUCACCGGGCCUCACUCACAGACUUGUGUUACCCAGCUGAUGAGGUGCAGGCUCCCUCUGCCUUCACAGAAGCUUUGGAAUUUAAGGAGCUGGCUGGGCCCCGAGAGCUGGGGCCUGGGCUGGGUUUCGGGCGUUUCUGUAACUAGCCGGGCCAUUGGGGUACUUUCCCUUUUCCUGUUAAGAUCAUGAGUCACAAACCAGUGACCUAUGAGUAGAAUGGGGUCUGGAAUCUCCUUUUUCCAAGUUUAAACAUCACUGCCCUUCGACAGGGACCUCGUUGCAGCUGGCCCCGGCCCCUGCUGUCGCCCACCUCCUUGGGCUUUCCGCUUCCUACCUGCACUCUCAGGCCUUCGGGGACUUCCGUGGUGACAGUGCAGUCUCCACCCUGCUCACUUCCCCAUCCGCUGUCCUUGCUGGCUGCUGAAGGCACUUAGACCUGAAAUCCUUGCAUGAGAAGGUCACCCAAAGCCCUUCCUGCUCUGGCAUCCAGUGCACCUAUUGUUGGCAUGAGUUUCUGAGUUCAGUGAAUCCAGAGUCCCUUAGUGUUCCACUGAGUUAGAACUCACUUAUCACUAGACACGUUUGAACAAGAGCCAGAAAGUGGCCCUCAAAUUUGCAGAGCAGGUCUGCUGUCCUGCAGGCUGAGUGGGCUUGCACCAAGCCCACUCACUGUCUCUGGCACAGCAGAGUGGCUUGUCACCAGGGCCAGAGCCCUAGUGCUUGAUGGCUGCAGUGCCAAAUGGCCCAAGACCCCAGCCAGCCUGCCCCCAAGGUUCUCUGCCUCUUUGCCUCCCCCUCCCCCUCCACAGCCUGGAGUGCUCCCUCUGCCCGUCGCUAGGAGCCCUGCAGGCCACCGCAGUAACUUGCACAGUCAGCCUGGCCAGAAGGGCUUGUGGGGGCUCCAGAGCAGCCAGAGGUCAUCCGUCCCUUAUGGGAUGUGGCAUCCUUUAGGGUGGUAGACUGUGUCUUUUAACCACCAUGCAACACCAUCCUUUCCUGUUAAUUAUCUGUGACUGCUUUUGAAGUGCUGGGAGGAGAAGCAUUUAAGUUGGGGAGGGCCGGAAGUCCACCCAAGGCACCCAGAGGCACUUCACAUGGAGGCUGUUUCUUCUAGUGACACCCCACGUCCACAGAAACAGUCACACCACCCCUCUUGUGCUCUGUUUACCAAAGAACAUCAUGUCACUAAUGGGAUGUGUUUUCCUCCUCAAGGUGACGUUCAUCUGCAUAGAUGAUCACUAUAAAAAGACAAAGAUUUCUGAGAAGACCUGGUACUUCUGAGGUCUCUGUAGGGGGAGGUUGAUUACAGAACUCCCCCGUUCAGGUGAGGCCUCCCGUGAGAACACUGGCGAUCCAGAGUCAAAGACCGUCGCACAGGGGCGAUGACUGGGGCAGACCCUGUCGACCUCACAGCACACCCUGAGCACCCGAGUCACCUGAGCAUCCUGUUGCAGUGCAGAUUUGCAUCCCGUAGGGCUGGCGUGGGCCUGGGGCGGUAUUUCUAACAAGCUGCAAGCAGAGGCCUGGGGUCCAAGGUUACCUGGAACUUUCUCUGGACCCUGGUUCUCCACAGUAACCUUUAAUGGAAGAGAACUCUGAUUGUAGGGUUGUUGAGAGCGAACUGAGGGCUGAGCUAUGUAUGACUUCCAUGUUCCUGAGCCCAGGGGCGAGGACAUUUAAAUAAAGCAGCAGAAAGUGUGGGUGUUUGGAGGAGGGGAGACAGGGAUGUGUGAAAAGCUCCCCAUUUCCUGAUUCCUCACUAGGCUUCUCCUCUUUUGUGAGCUGAUGCCCAUGACCCAGAAAGCACACAUCCCAACAAAGUUCUCCCACAGUUGGACAAGGUGGAGCUCUUGCCGAGUUCAUUUAGUAAAUUGGUCCUGAAUCUUUAAAUUGUUGUUAGGUGUAAAAUCAUACAUCUAGAAAGACAUUAAAAGAUUAUAUAAAAGAUAAUGCAUGUGUGUGUCCGUGAACUCCCUGGGAAAGCGUGUUUGUUGGUAUGUAAGUGAGCAAAUUUAGUGCUUGGAAUGGGUUCCUCAUGUGCCUUGGGACUACGGGUUCAGCACAGGGCAGGGCAGUGGGGUGGAGACAGGAGGGGAGGACAGGAUGGGCCACGUGGCUGGAUGGCUUACAGCAGAUUACUUUAAUUUUGGUGCAAGAGUGAUCUAAGGAGCUGACUUAUCAAUGUGUAGAAGAUUGCAGUUGCAAUUUGCUGGUUAGUCUCUGUUCUUUGAAUGCUUUCCUGAAGUGCCAUUUUGUCUCAGUAAAAUGCUCCCUAAAAAUACUCAAAUAUUUUUAGUUGUAGAGUACAAAUCAGAUUGAGCUGCACAUUUCCCUGGUGAGCAAAAGUGAUGAGUUUGUGUUCAUUAACUUGAGGCCAUCUGGUGCAGACACGCCGCAGUCUGUGAAUCAAACGUGCAUCAAACUCCAGGGAUCAGAAAGCGCGCCAGACCCAGUGUUUUGGAGAGUCAACAACAACCAGAGGGAGAAAGAGGCCUCAGCUAUCUUUUUCUUUUAUUUUUAAAAAUCAGGGCUCCUUGCAGUGCAUCAGAGCCUUCCUCUGCUCAGCUGGCGGAGCACAGCGCCGUCUCGCCGUUGCCCAGCUCCACCGUCUUUGGAGUGUGCUUCCGGAGAACUCAUGUGCCCCGCGUCAUCUCCGUGAGGGCAGAGGGAGGAGAAAGCACAAAGGCCCUUUCUGAAUGUUUUCCUGUAACCAUAGGCCAGAGCCAGCCAUGCACGGUGCCCAAGGCUCGGUGAGACCCACUUAUGGAAGCAAAGGCCCGCUCCAGGUAGUGGGCGCCCACGGGGCACCUCAGGAAAACCUAGGAGAAGCCCCAGCCCCGGCUAGCGUUCCAUUUGGCCCUCUCACCACAUAUGAUUGGUAGAAUCUGCAUCAACUGCAAGAUCUGAUGAGUGGUACAUACCAACCCCACAGGAGCAAGGACGGAGCAGGAAGGAAGAGUGGGAAGAUCAGAUGAGUUCUUAAGGAGUUUCAUGGAGAAACAGAAUUUUGUUAUGGUUUUGAUUGUGCAAUUAAUGUGUGUUUAUUGAGGAAAAUAUAGGUAAGCAAACAGGAGAGAGUAAAAAGUGCCAUGAGUAUUUAUUUAAACACUUUGGCAUGUAUACUUCUGUUUCUGUCUCUAUGGCCCUAAGUACCUUAACCAAUAGAAUCACAGUGUACAUACCUUGUUUUGUAACCUACCUUUUCAGUGAUCAAUAUUUGAUAAAUGUAUUUUCAUACCAUUAAAUGUCAUUUUGAUACCGCCUGUUA